Molecule: ribosomal RNA, 301 nt
Filed under: Paenibacillus sp. CF095
Lineage: Bacteria; Bacillati; Bacillota; Bacilli; Caryophanales; Paenibacillaceae
Description: partial 16S rRNA. Bacterial SSU
Rfam family: Bacterial small subunit ribosomal RNA
Source: RNAcentral
CUUUAUUGGAGAGUUUGAUCCUGGCUCAGGACGAACGCUGGCGGCAUGCCUAAUACAUGCAAGUCGAGCGGAGUUGAUAGGAAGCUUGCUUCCUUGAUACUUAGCGGCGGACGGGUGAGUAACACGUAGGCAACCUGCCCUCAAGUUUGGGACAACUACCGGAAACGGUAGCUAAUACCGAAUAGUUGUUUUCUUCGCCUGAAGGAAACUGGAAAGACGGAGCAAUCUGUCACUUGGGGAUGGGCCUGCGGCGCAUUAGCUAGUUGGUGGGGUAACGGCUCACCAAGGCGACGAUGCGUAG